GACACAGGGAGGUAGUGACAAGAAAUAACAAUACAGGGCUAUUUUAGUCUUGUAAUUGGAAUGAGUACAAUUUACAUCUCUUCACGAGGAUCAAUUGGAGGGCAAGUCUGGUGCCAGCAGCCGCGGUAAUUCCAGCUCCAAUAGCGUAUAUUAAAGUUGUUGCAGUUAAAACGCUCGUAGUCGGAUUUCGGGGCGGGCCGACCGGUCUGCCGAUGGGUAUGCACUGGCCGGCGCGUCCUUCCACCCGGAGACCGCGCCUACUCUUAACUGAGCGGGCGCGGGAGACGGGUCUUUUACUUUGAAAAAAUCAGAGUGUUUCAAGCAGGCAGUCGCUCUUGCAUGGAUUAGCAUGGGAUAAUGAAAUAGGACUCUGGUGCUAUUUUGUUGGUUUCGAACACCGGAGUAAUGAUUAACAGGGACAGUCAGGGGCACUCGUAUUCCGCCGAGAGAGGUGAAAUUCUCAGACCAGCGGAAGACGAACCACUGCGAAAGCAUUUGCCAGGGAUGUUUUCACUGAUCAAGAACGAAAGUUAGGGGAUCGAAGACGAUCAGAUACCGUCGUAGUCUUAACCAUAAACCAUGCCGACUAGGGAUUGGAGGAUGUUCCAUUUGUGACUCCUUCAGCACCUUUCGGGAGACUAAAGUCUUUGGGUUCCGGGGGGAGUAUGGUCGCAAGGCUGAAACUUAAAGGAAUUGACGGAAGGGCACCACCAGGAGUGGAGCCUG
This 726-nucleotide ribosomal RNA is filed under the name uncultured marine eukaryote. RNAcentral's name for it is "SSU rRNA". It matches the Rfam family "Eukaryotic small subunit ribosomal RNA", at positions 453 to 1185 of the family's 1831-position model. The record is from RNAcentral.